GCCUGAGUGGCUCAAGUGGUAGAGCACGUGACUCUUGAUCUCAGGGUUGUGAGUUCAAGCCCCAUGUUGGGUG
Molecule: transfer RNA, 73 nt
Filed under: Felis catus (domestic cat)
Lineage: Eukaryota; Metazoa; Chordata; Mammalia; Carnivora; Felidae
Rfam family: tRNA
About the family: Transfer RNA (tRNA) molecules are approximately 80 nucleotides in length. Their secondary structure includes four short double-helical elements and three loops (D, anti-codon, and T loops). Further hydrogen bonds mediate the characteristic L-shaped molecular structure. tRNAs have two regions of fundamental functional importance: the anti-codon, which is responsible for specific mRNA codon recognition, and the 3' end, to which the tRNAs corresponding amino acid is attached (by aminoacyl-tRNA synthetases). tRNAs cope with the degeneracy of the genetic code in two manners: having more than one tRNA (with a specific anti-codon) for a particular amino acid; and 'wobble' base-pairing, i.e. permitting non-standard base-pairing at the 3rd anti-codon position.
Source: Rfam by way of RNAcentral